Molecule: ribosomal RNA, 417 nt
Filed under: uncultured bacterium
Lineage: Bacteria
Description: bacterial SSU rRNA
Rfam family: Archaeal small subunit ribosomal RNA
Source: RNAcentral
GUGCCAGCCGCCGCGGUAACACCGGCGGCCCGAGUGGUGAUCGUGAUUAUUGGGUCUAAAGGGUCCGUAGCCGGUUUGGUCAGUCCUCCGGGAAAUCUGACGGCUCAACCGUUAGGCUUUCGGUGGAUACUGCCAGACUUGGAACCGGGAGAGGUAAGAGGUACUACAGGGGUAGGAGUGAAAUCUUGUAAUCCCUGUGAGACCACCUGUGGCGAAGGCGUCUUACCAGAACGGGUUCGACGGUGAGGGACGAAAGCUGGGGGCACGAACCGGAUUAGAUACCCGGGUAGUCCCAGCCGUAAACGAUGCUCGCUAGGUGUCAGGCAUGGCGCGACCGUGUCUGGUGCCGCAGGGAAGCCGUGAAGCGAGCCACCUGGGAAGUACGGCCGCAAGGCUGAAACUCAAAUAAAUUGACGG